GUGGGGAAUAUUGGACAAUGGGCGAAAGCCUGAUCCAGCCAUACCGCGUGGGUGAAGAAGGCCUUCGGGUUGUAAAGCCCUUUUGUUGGGAAAGAAAUCCUGUCGGUUAAUACCUGGCGGGGAUGACGGUACCCAAAGAAUAAGCACCGGCUAACUUCGUGCCAGCAGCCGCGGUAAUACGAAGGGUGCAAGCGUUACUCGGAAUUACUGGGCGUAAAGCGUGCGUAGGUGGUGGUUUAAGUCCGUUGUGAAAGCCCUGGGCUCAACCUGGGAAUUGCAGUGGAUACUGGAUCACUAGAGUGUGGUAGAGGGAUGCGGAAUUUCUGGUGUAGCAGUGAAAUGCGUAGAGAUCAGAAGGAACAUCCGUGGCGAAGGCGGCAUCCUGGGCCAACACUGACACUGAGGCACGAAAGCGUGGGGAGCAAACAGGAUUAGAAACCCGGGUAGUCC
This 450-nucleotide ribosomal RNA is filed under the name uncultured bacterium. Its description in RNAcentral is "bacterial SSU rRNA". It matches the Rfam family "Bacterial small subunit ribosomal RNA", at positions 354 to 796 of the family's 1533-position model. The record is from RNAcentral.